UGGCGAACGGGUGAGUAAUAUAUCGGAACGUGCCCAGUCGUGGGGGAUAACGUAGGGAAACUUACGCUAAUACCGCAUACGAUCUGAGGAUGAAAGCGGCGGACCGCAAGGCGUCGCGCGAUUGGAUGAGCCGAUAUCCGAUUAGCUAGUUGGUGGGGUAAUGGCCCACCAAGGCGACGAUCGGUAGCUGGUCUGAGAGGAUGAUCAGCCACACUGGAACUGAGACACGGUCCAGACUCCUACGGGAGGCAGCAGUGGGGAAUAUUGGACAAUGGGCGCAAGCCUGAUCCAGCAAUGCCGCGUGCAGGAAGAAGGCCUUCGGGUUGUAAACUGCUUUUGUACGGAACGAAAAGGUCCCUUCUAAUAAAGGGGGCCCAUGACGGUACCGUAAGAAUAAGCACCGGCUAACUACGUGCCAGCAGCCGCGGUAAUACGUAGGGUGCGAGCGUUAAUCGGAAUUACUGGGCGUAAAGCGUGCGCAGGCGGUUCUAUAAGACAGAUGUGAAAUCCCCGGGCUCAACCUGGGAAUGGCAUUUGUGA
Molecule: ribosomal RNA, 540 nt
Filed under: uncultured Comamonadaceae bacterium
Lineage: Bacteria; Pseudomonadati; Pseudomonadota; Betaproteobacteria; Burkholderiales; Comamonadaceae
Description: bacterial SSU rRNA
Rfam family: Bacterial small subunit ribosomal RNA
Source: RNAcentral